This 419-nucleotide ribosomal RNA is filed under the name Triticum aestivum (bread wheat). RNAcentral's name for it is "partial small subunit ribosomal RNA". The record is from RNAcentral. Lineage: Eukaryota; Viridiplantae; Streptophyta; Magnoliopsida; Poales; Poaceae.
AUUUUUAUUGUUUUUCUCAUUUUCCACUGUUGCCCAUUCUUUCUAGGACCAGUAUAUACAUCAUGAUUUUCUUUUUAUGUAAUUGUUAUUUAUACUUGAAGCAAGGUAUCUAAAGACCUGAUGGGAAAUGAGGAGGUGCCCUUUGCAACUAAAAAGACUAAGUUGGAGACCAAGUGCCUUUAGGCAACGCGCCCUUUUGGAUCGUAGCGUAUUAGUUGCGGAUGUGCAGAAAAUGCUGAUUUAGCGGAUGGAUUGCCUUUUCCAUCUGGGAUCGCUUUUGUUGCGACCUGUCGCUUAUAAUAGAGUGAUCUGUUUUGCUGAUCCUGGCCAAGUGGAAUCUACUGUCUGUCAAUGUCCAAAUGCUGCAGUCAAUAGUUAGUGUGACAUGGAUCUUGACUAAUGUAUCCCAUCAGUUUAGC